UUGUGCGUUAUGCGAGUCUGUGCUGCGGCCAUUAGUCACUGCUUAAACGAAUGCACCUUAUAACCUCUUUGCUUUACGUUACGGAAGCGUGACCAACAAAGAAGAAUAGCGGAUUACGCAAAAAAAAUCAAUGAGACGCGAAUAUGGAUCGCAAAAUACCAGGAAGCAUCAAGGAAGCAUCAAUUUAAAGACAAGUAGCGCUUAAAGCGGAAUAAGUUAUCAGUUAGAAUUAUGUACAAAUAUAGCAUCAAGAAAUGAAGACGAGCAAAUAAUGCCAGAAUCUGGAGCGUAUAAUUAAAAGAAGCUGUGAAGAUCAAUCUUGAAAAGGAAAAAGAAGAAAAAGAAAGAAUGCUCUUACCUGUAUAAGGCUACAUCACAGAUCAAAUCAUCCAACAUUAAUUAGAUAAAAUUAUACUAGUACUUCAACAGGCGAAUCUAGUGAACAAUUUAUGCACAGGAUAUCUAGAGCACACAUAAUUUUUUGAAGGCAAUAGCAUUUGAGAAAAAAUAUGGUAUUCAGAUUGAACGAGAUUCAAAUAUUAGUAAAAUUCAAGAUCUAGCAAAACAUUAUGCAAAUAUAAAAAAGAUGUUAUAAAAACAUUAAAAAUUAAGCAUAAUAAUAUUAAUAGAAAAAAGAUACUUGAAAGUUCUGCAACUUCAUCAAAAAAUGAAAAAUGAAGACUGAAAGUAUGUGUAAAAAAAGGAAAGAAGCUUGAAACCUUUAAUGAAUUUGAGAAAUUGCAAGAUUGUUUUUGAAGUAGUAUGAACCUCCUAGGUUGGAAAUUAAAUCAAAUAAAAUUAAUGAAGUUAGAAAGCCAAAAAAUUUAUUAUUGAAUUCGUUAUUAGAAGAUUCUAAAAAAGGCUUUUUUUAUAUUCAAAGUGAUUUAGAAAGAAAAACUUACCUGAAACAAAAAGAAAAAAAAUUAGAGAAUAAAGUGAAACUAUUGCAGCCUACAAACAAUUGAAGUCUAAGUAAUUAGAAACUACUAGGAUGAUGUUGGUAACGUGCACAUAGAUUGAACAGACCAACAGGAUCAAGCCUCUCGAGGAUCUCUGGAUCACGUACACC
This is a long non-coding RNA of Atta colombica, 1069 nucleotides long. RefSeq lists it as uncharacterized. The record is from RefSeq and is a predicted model, not a curated record. NCBI's taxonomy places the organism in Eukaryota, Metazoa, Arthropoda, Insecta, Hymenoptera, Formicidae. The transcript has 3 exons.